RNAcentral lists this ribosomal RNA (641 nucleotides) under uncultured archaeon. RNAcentral describes it as "bacterial SSU rRNA". It matches the Rfam family "Archaeal small subunit ribosomal RNA", at positions 1 to 642 of the family's 1478-position model. The record is from RNAcentral.
UUCGCCCUUUUCCGGUUGAUCCUGCCGGAGGCUACUGCUAUCGGGAUUCGAUUAAGCCAUGCGAGUCGAGAGGGUUCGGCCCUCGGCUGACUGCUCAGUAACACGUGGAUAACUUGCCCUCAGGUAGGGGAUAAUCUCGGGAAACUGAGGAUAAUACCCUAUAGGCAUCCUUUGCUGGAAUGCUUGGAUGUUCAAAGGUAACGCCUGAGGAUAGGUCUGCGGCCUAUCAGGUUGUAGUGGGUGUAAUGGACCCACUAGCCCGCGACGGGUACGGGCCUUGAAAGAGGUAGCCCGGAGAUGGACUCUGAGACACGAGUCCAGGCCCUACGGGGCGCAGCAGGCGCGAAAACUUCGCAAUGCGGGAAACCGUGACGAGGGAAUCCCGAGUGCUCAUACAAUGUAUGGGCUUUUCUUAUGUGUAAAUAGCAUGAGGAAUAAGGGCUGGGUAAGACCGGUGCCAGCCGCCGCGGUAAUACCGGCAGCUCUAGUGGUAGCCACUUUUAUUGGGCCUAAAGCGUCCGUAGCCGGUCGGGUAAAUCCUUGGGUAAAUCGUACAGCUUAACUGUGCGGCUUCCGGGGAGACUGCCUGACUUGGGACCGGGAGAGGUUGGAGGUACUCCUGGGGUAGGGGUGAAAUCCUG